Molecule: long non-coding RNA, 421 nt
Filed under: Capsicum annuum
Lineage: Eukaryota; Viridiplantae; Streptophyta; Magnoliopsida; Solanales; Solanaceae
Description: long non-coding RNA (CANN_LNC011048)
Source: RNAcentral
GCACCAGGUAGUAUAGAAUUAUAGUUAUCCGUACAACUGUGUGUUUCAGACAAGCUCAACAAAGGAUAACCUAUAAAUGAAUUAUAAACAUAGUUAUUACUUAUUCAUAGCUUCCUAAGGAUAUUUGGACCAUCUCGUAAAGGGGGUUCAACAACUUGAAAAGCAAGAGAUCAAACUAAGUAUAUGGCUAAAUUCAUCAUUAAGAAGACGACGCGAUACAUUUUCUUUAAGGAUGUUUCACAACAACACACACUGGAAAUUAUUGAAUGAAAGUUGAACAUACCUUGAAGUGUGAAUAUCACUGAUAGCAACCUCGUCAAUGACGACCUCAAAGUAUCACUGAUAGCGUUGGAAGAGAGAAAGAGAGAAAGGAAGGAAGAGAGAGAGAAGCGGCGCAAGAGAGAAAGAAAGGAAAAGAGAG